This 67-nucleotide transfer RNA is filed under the name Phalops ardea. RNAcentral's name for it is "tRNA-Asn". Lineage: Eukaryota; Metazoa; Arthropoda; Insecta; Coleoptera; Scarabaeidae. The record is from RNAcentral.
UUAAUUGAAGCCAAAAUAGAGGCAUAUCACUGUUAAUGAUAAUACUGGAUUAUUAUUCCCAAUUAAA